Molecule: ribosomal RNA, 411 nt
Filed under: Moraxella sp. canine oral taxon 396
Lineage: Bacteria; Pseudomonadati; Pseudomonadota; Gammaproteobacteria; Moraxellales; Moraxellaceae
Description: bacterial SSU rRNA
Rfam family: Bacterial small subunit ribosomal RNA
Source: RNAcentral
GAGUUUGAUUAUGGCUCAGAUUGAACGCUGGCGGCAGGCUUAACACAUGCAAGUCGAACGAUGAUUACUAGCUUGCUAGUAUGAUUAGUGGCGAACGGGUGAGUAAUGCUUAGGAAUCUGCCUAUUAGUGGGGGACAACAUUCCGAAAGGAAUGCUAAUACCGCAUACGUCCUACGGGAGAAAGCAGGGGAUCGCAAGACCUUGCGCUAAUAGAUGAGCCUAAGUCGGAUUAGCUAGUUGGUGGGGUAAAGGCCUACCAAGGCGACGAUCUGUAGCUGGUCUGAGAGGAUGAUCAGCCACACUGGGACUGAGACACGGCCCAGACUCCUACGGGAGGCAGCAGUGGGGAAUAUUGGACAAUGGGCGAAAGCCUGAUCCAGCCAUGCCGCGUGUGUGAAGAAGGCCUUUUGG